This 252-nucleotide ribosomal RNA is filed under the name uncultured bacterium. Its description in RNAcentral is "partial 16S ribosomal RNA". It matches the Rfam family "Bacterial small subunit ribosomal RNA", at positions 524 to 776 of the family's 1533-position model. The record is from RNAcentral.
UACGUAGGUGGCAAGCGUUAUCCGGAAUUAUUGGGCGUAAAGAGCGCGCAGGUGGUUAAUUAAGUCUGGUGUAAAAGGCAGUGGCUCAACCAUUGUAUGCAUUGGAAACUGGUAGACUUGAGUGCAGGAGAGGAGAGUGGAAUUCCAUGUGUAGCGGUGAAAUGCGUAGAUAUAUGGAGGAACACCGGUGGCGAAAGCGGCUCUCUGGCCUGUAACUGACACUGAGGCUCGAAAGCGUGGGGAGCAAACAGG